RNAcentral lists this ribosomal RNA (536 nucleotides) under uncultured bacterium. Its description in RNAcentral is "partial 16S ribosomal RNA". It matches the Rfam family "Bacterial small subunit ribosomal RNA", at positions 355 to 883 of the family's 1533-position model. The record is from RNAcentral.
UGGGGAAUUUUGGACAAUGGGCGAAAGCCUGAUCCAGCAAUGCCGCGUGUGUGAAGAAGGCCUUCGGGUUGUAAAGCACUUUUGUCCGGAAAGAAAUCCUCUGGGUUAAUACCUCGGGGGGAUGACGGUACCGGAAGAAUAAGCACCGGCUAACUACGUGCCAGCAGCCGCGGUAAUGACGUAGGGUGCAAGCGUUAAUCGGAAUUACUGGGCGUAAAGCGUGCGCAGGCGGUUUUGUAAGACGGAUGUGAAAUCCCCGGGCUUAACCUGGGAACUGCAUUCGUGACUGCAAGGCUAGAGUAUGGCAGAGGGGGGUAGAAUUCCACGUGUAGCAGUGAAAUGCGCAGAGAUGUGGAGGAAUACCGAUGGCGAAGGCAGCCCCCUGGGCCAAUACUGACGCUCAUGCACGAAAGCGUGGGGAGCAAACAGGAUUAGAUACCCUGGUAGUCCACGCCCUAAACGAUGUCAACUAGUUGUUGGGGAUUCAUUUCCUAGUAACGUAGCUAACGCGUGAAGUUGACCGCCUGGGGGAGUAC